Molecule: transfer RNA, 66 nt
Filed under: uncultured Phaeodactylibacter sp.
Lineage: Bacteria; Pseudomonadati; Bacteroidota; Saprospiria; Saprospirales; Haliscomenobacteraceae
Rfam family: tRNA
About the family: Transfer RNA (tRNA) molecules are approximately 80 nucleotides in length. Their secondary structure includes four short double-helical elements and three loops (D, anti-codon, and T loops). Further hydrogen bonds mediate the characteristic L-shaped molecular structure. tRNAs have two regions of fundamental functional importance: the anti-codon, which is responsible for specific mRNA codon recognition, and the 3' end, to which the tRNAs corresponding amino acid is attached (by aminoacyl-tRNA synthetases). tRNAs cope with the degeneracy of the genetic code in two manners: having more than one tRNA (with a specific anti-codon) for a particular amino acid; and 'wobble' base-pairing, i.e. permitting non-standard base-pairing at the 3rd anti-codon position.
Source: RNAcentral
CGGUAGUUCAGUUGGUUAGAAUGCCUGCCUGUCACGCAGGAGGUCGCGGGUUCAAGUCCCGUCCGG